AACGAACGCUGGCGGCAGGCCUAACACAUGCAAGUCGAGCGCACCCUUCGGGGUGAGCGGCGGACGGGUGAGUAACGCGUGGGAACGUGCCCUUCUCUGCGGAAUAGCCUCGGGAAACUGAGAGUAAUACCGCAUACGCCCUUUCGGGGAAAGAUUUAUCGGAGAAGGAUCGGCCCGCGUUGGAUUAGGUAGUUGGUGGGGUAAUGGCCCACCAAGCCGACGAUCCAUAGCUGGUUUGAGAGGAUGAUCAGCCACACUGGGACUGAGACACGGCCCAGACUCCUACGGGAGGCAGCAGUGGGGAAUCUUAGACAAUGGGGGCAACCCUGAUCUAGCCAUGCCGCGUGAGUGAUGAAGGCCUUAGGGUUGUAAAGCUCUUUCAGCUGGGAAGAUAAUGACGGUACCAGCAGAAGAAGCCCCGGCUAACUCCGUG
This 433-nucleotide ribosomal RNA is filed under the name uncultured bacterium. RNAcentral describes it as "partial 16S ribosomal RNA". It matches the Rfam family "Bacterial small subunit ribosomal RNA", at positions 29 to 507 of the family's 1533-position model. The record is from RNAcentral.